CACGGGAUCUAAUCUCCAAUCGCUGAAGUCCGACGAAUGACGAGAACUCCAAUCCGCGAAAGUAUUGCGCAGGCCCGGAAUAUAUUCCGCAAUCACCGUGAAACCCCUGUCCAGGCAAAAGGACCAAAACCCCUUCGCCAGAUGGGAGAGUAUCGAUGAAUGAGUGCCCCCAUGGCAUUGACAUACCGCAAGGCUGACACGUUGUCAAUCCUGAGCCUGAUGCAAGCCGAGAUCCUGU
This is a long non-coding RNA of Bufo bufo (common toad), 238 nucleotides long. RefSeq lists it as uncharacterized. The transcript is spliced from 3 exons. NCBI's taxonomy places the organism in Eukaryota, Metazoa, Chordata, Amphibia, Anura, Bufonidae. The record is from RefSeq and is a predicted model, not a curated record.